CCUACGGGAGGCAGCAGUGAGGAAUAUUGGUCAAUGGCCGUAAGGCUGAACCAGCCAAGUAGCGUGAGGGAAGACUGCCCUAUGGGUUGUAAACCUCUUUUAUGCGGGGAUAAAGGUGUCCACGUGUGGAUGUUUGCAGGUACCGCAUGAAUAAGGACCGGCUAAUUCCGUGCCAGCAGCCGCGGUAAUACGGAAGGUCAGGGCGUUAUCCGGAUUUAUUGGGUUUAAAGGGAGCGUAGGCCGGUCUUUAAGCGUGCCGGGAAAUUUUGUGGCUCAACCAUGAGAGUGCGGCGCGAACUGGAGACCUUGAGUGCGCGGAAGGCAGGCGGAAUUCGUGGUGUAGCGGUGAAAUGCUUAGAUAUCACGAAGAACCCCGAUUGCGAAGGCAGCCUGCCGCAGCGUUACUGACGCUGAAGCUCGAAAGCGCGGGUAUCGAACAGGAUUAGAUACCCCAGUAGUC
RNAcentral lists this ribosomal RNA (460 nucleotides) under uncultured bacterium. RNAcentral's name for it is "partial 16S ribosomal RNA". It matches the Rfam family "Bacterial small subunit ribosomal RNA", at positions 338 to 795 of the family's 1533-position model. The record is from RNAcentral.